GAUGAACGCUGGCGGCGUGCCUAAUACAUGCAAGUCGAGCGAACAGAUGAGGAGCUUGCUCCUCUGACGUUAGCGGCGGACGGGUGAGUAACACGUGGAUAACCUACCUAUAAGACUGGGAUAACUUCGGGAAACCGGAGCUAAUACCGGAUAAUAUAUUGAACCGCAUGGUUCAAUAGUGAAAGACGGUUUUGCUGUCACUUAUCGAUGGAUCCGCGCCGCAUUAGCUAGUUGGUAAGGAAACGGCUUACCAAGGCAACGAUGCGUAGCCGACCUGAGAGGGUGAUUGGCCACAGUGGAAGUAAGACACGGUCCAUGCUACUACGGGAGGCAGCAGUAGGGAAUCUUCCGCAAUGGGCGAAAGCCUUACGGAGCGAAGGCGCGUGAGUGAUGAAAAUCUUCGGAUCGUGAAACUGUGUUAUUAGGGAAGAACAAAUUUGUAAGUAACUAUGCACGUCUUGACGGUACCUAAUCAGAAAGCCACGGCUAACUACGUG
This 497-nucleotide ribosomal RNA is filed under the name uncultured bacterium. Its description in RNAcentral is "partial 16S ribosomal RNA". It matches the Rfam family "Bacterial small subunit ribosomal RNA", at positions 28 to 507 of the family's 1533-position model. The record is from RNAcentral.